Molecule: ribosomal RNA, 1526 nt
Filed under: uncultured bacterium
Lineage: Bacteria
Description: bacterial SSU rRNA
Rfam family: Bacterial small subunit ribosomal RNA
Source: RNAcentral
CUUACAACGGAGAGUUUGAUCCUGGCUCAGGAUGAACGCUAGCGGCAGGCUUAACACAUGCAAGUCGAGGGGUAAUCUUGCUUUCGAGCGAGAACGACCGGCGCACGGGUGCGUAACGCGUAUGCAACCUACCCUUAUCAGGAGGAUAGCCCGAAGAAAUUCGGAUUAAUACUCCAUAAUAUUAAUAGAUGGCAUCAUUUAUUAAUUAAAGCUACGGCGGAUAAGGAUGGGCAUGCGUCCUAUUAGUUAGUUGGAGAGGUAACGGCUCACCAAGACAGCGAUAGGUAGGGGGCCUGAGAGGGUGAUCCCCCACACUGGUACUGAGACACGGACCAGACUCCUACGGGAGGCAGCAGUGAGGAAUAUUGGUCAAUGGACGAGAGUCUGAACCAGCCAUGCCGCGUGCAGGAUGACAGCCCUACGGGUUGUAAACUGCUUUUAUAUGGGAAUAAACCCCCGAACGUGUUCGGGGCUGAAGGUACCAUACGAAUAAGGAUCGGCUAACUCCGUGCCAGCAGCCGCGGUAAUACGGAGGAUCCAAGCGUUAUCCGGAUUCAUUGGGUUUAAAGGGUCCGCAGGCGGGGCGCUAAGUCAGUGGUGAAAGCCUACCGCUCAACGGUAGGACUGCCAUUGAUACUGGUGCUCUUGAGUGUAGUUGAAGUGGGCGGAAUGAGUCAUGUAGCGGUGAAAUGCAUAGAUAUGACUCAGAACACCGAUUGCGAAGGCAGCUCACUAAGCUAACACUGACGCUCAGGGACGAAAGCGUGGGUAGCAAACAGGAUUAGAUACCCUGGUAGUCCACGCUGUAAACUAUGAUCACUCGCUGUUGGCGAUAUACAGUCAGCGGCCAAGCGAAAGCAUUAAGUGAUCCACCUGGGGAGUACGCUCGCAAGAGUGAAACUCAAAGGAAUUGACGGGGGCCCGCACAAGCGGUGGAGCAUGUGGUUUAAUUCGAUGAUACGCGAGGAACCUUACCUGGGCUUAAAUGCAGGACGACCGUCCCGGAAACGGGACUUUCUUCGGACGGCCUGCAAGGUGCUGCAUGGUUGUCGUCAGCUCGUGCCGUGAGGUGUCGGGUUAAGUCCCAUAACGAGCGCAACCCCUAUUCUUAGUUGCCAGCGGUUCGGCCGGGGACUCUAAGAAACUGCCCGCGCAAGCGGUGAGGAAGGUGGGGAUGACGUCAAAUCAUCACGGCCCUUACGUCCAGGGCUACACACGUGCUACAAUGGUGUUGACAGAGGGCAGCUACACUGCGAAGUGAUGCUAAUCCCUAAACAACAUCUCAGUUCGGAUUGGAGUCUGCAACUCGACUCCAUGAAGCUGGAAUCGCUAGUAAUCGCGCAUCAGCCAUGGCGCGGUGAAUACGUUCCCGGGCCUUGUACACACCGCCCGUCAAGCCAUGGAAGCUGGGGGUACCUGAAGUCGGUCACCGCAAGGAGCUGCCUAGGGUAAAACCAGUAACUGGGGCUAAGUCGUAACAAGGUAGCCGUACUGGAAGGUGCGGCUGGAACACCUCCUUUUAGAGU